RNAcentral lists this non-coding RNA (716 nucleotides) under Drosophila virilis. RNAcentral's name for it is "Eukaryotic large subunit ribosomal RNA". It matches the Rfam family "Eukaryotic large subunit ribosomal RNA", at positions 1 to 623 of the family's 3401-position model. Lineage: Eukaryota; Metazoa; Arthropoda; Insecta; Diptera; Drosophilidae. The record is from Rfam by way of RNAcentral.
CAACCUCAACUCAUAUGGGACUACCCCCUGAAUUUAAGCAUAUUAAUUAGGGGAGGAAAAGAAACUAACAAGGAUUUUCUUAGUAGCGGCGAGCGAAAAGAAAUCAGUUCAGCACUAAGUCACUUUGUCUAUAUGGCAAAUGUGAGAUGCAGUGUACGGAACAUCAACAUUCUAGUAUGAGAAGUUAACGAUUUAAGUCCUUCUUAAAUGAGGCCAUUUACCCAUAGAGGGUGCCAGGCCCGUAUAACGUUAAUGAUUACUAGAUGGUGUUUCCAAAGAGUCGUGUUGCUUGAUAGUGCAGCACUAAGUGGGUGGUAAACUCCAUCUAAAACUAAAUAUAACCAUGAGACCGAUAGUAAACAAGUACCGUGAGGGAAAGUUGAAAAGAACUCUGAAUAGAGAGUUAAAUAGUACGUGAAACUGCUUAGAGGUUAAGCCCGAUGAACCUGAAUAUCCGUUAUGGAAAAUUCAUCAUUAGAAUUGUAAUAUUUUAAACAAUAUUAUAAUAAUAGUGUGCAUUUUUUCCAUAUAAGGACAUUGUAAUCUAUUAGCAUAAAUAUUUAUCAUAAAAUUAUGUCUGAUUGCUUAUUUGAAUUAUAUGCUUGGCAUUUUAACAUAAAAUAAAAGAUAUAAAUUUGAUAAAGUGCUGAUAGAUUUAUAUGAUUACAGUGCGUUAAUUUUUCGGAAUUAUAUAAUGGCAUAAUUAUCAUUGAUAU